ACGGAAGGCAGCAGUGGGGAAUAUUGCACAAUGGGGGAGACCCUGAUGCAGCGACGCCGCGUGAGUGAAGAAGUAUUUCGGUAUGUAAAGCUCUAUCAGCAGGAAAGAAAAUGACGGUACCUGACUAAGAAGCCCCGGCUAACUACGUGCCAGCAGCCGCGGUAAUACGUAGGGGGCAAGCGUUAUCCGGAUUUACUGGGUGUAAAGGGAGCGUAGACGGCUUUGCAAGUCUGAAGUGAAAGCCCGGGGCUCAACCCCGGAACUGCUUUGGAAACUGUAGAGCUAGAGUGCAGGAGAGGUAAGUGGAAUUCCUAGUGUAGCGGUGAAAUGCGUAGAUAUUAGGAGGAACACCAGUGGCGAAGGCGGCUUACUGGACUGUAACUGACGUUGAGGCUCGAAGGCGUGGGGAGCAAACAGGAUUAGAUACCCUGGUA
This 434-nucleotide ribosomal RNA is filed under the name uncultured Lachnospiraceae bacterium. RNAcentral describes it as "partial 16S ribosomal RNA". It matches the Rfam family "Bacterial small subunit ribosomal RNA", at positions 341 to 792 of the family's 1533-position model. Lineage: Bacteria; Bacillati; Bacillota; Clostridia; Lachnospirales; Lachnospiraceae. The record is from RNAcentral.